Podarcis lilfordi (Lilford's wall lizard) is the source of this 74-nucleotide non-coding RNA. The record is from the annotation of a GenBank genome assembly. Lineage: Eukaryota; Metazoa; Chordata; Lepidosauria; Squamata; Lacertidae.
CUCAGGAUAGCUCAGCGACAGAGCAUGAGAAUCUUAAUCUCAAGGUCUGUGGGUUCAAGCCCCAUUGCAGGAGG